AGUGAACGCUGGCGGCAGGCCUAAUACAUGCAAGUCGAACGGCAGCACAGCAGAGCUUGCUCUGUGGGUGACGAGUGGGCGGACGGGUGAGGAAUACGUGGGAAUCUGCCCAGUCGUGGGGAUAACGUAGGGAAACUUACGCUAAUACCGCAUGCGCCCUUCGGGGGAAAGCCGGGGACCUUCGGGCCUGGCGCGAUUGGAUGAGCCCAGUCGGAUUAGCUAGUUGGCGGGGUAAAGGCCCACCAAGGCGACGAUCCGUAGCUGGUCUGAGAGGAUGAUCAGCCACACUGGAACUGAGACACGGUCCAGACUCCUACGGGAGCAGCAGUAGGGAAUAUUGGACAAAUGGGCGCAAGCCUGAUCCAGCCAUG
This 371-nucleotide ribosomal RNA is filed under the name uncultured bacterium. Its description in RNAcentral is "bacterial SSU rRNA". It matches the Rfam family "Bacterial small subunit ribosomal RNA", at positions 29 to 396 of the family's 1533-position model. The record is from RNAcentral.